Long non-coding RNA from Gambusia affinis (western mosquitofish), 657 nucleotides. RefSeq lists it as uncharacterized. The transcript has 3 exons. The record is from RefSeq and is a predicted model, not a curated record. NCBI's taxonomy places the organism in Eukaryota, Metazoa, Chordata, Actinopteri, Cyprinodontiformes, Poeciliidae.
UACGUUUCGGGUCGAAAGCAGCGUGAAUUCAAAGGAAACCGUGUCCCCAGCAGUAAAAUGUUCCAGCAGCAUGAGAUGUCACAUUGAACAAGUAACAAGUAAAUUAUAGUCAUUGCUUAUGUAAAUAUAUUUCACAGCAAAAAUACACAAAUGACAUGGUUCUGAGAACAUCCAUGGUGAAGACUUUUCCUUUAGAUGCAGGAGAUCAAAGGCCAUGUCGGAGGUGAACCUGUCGGUAUUUUCAGACGUCGACUCAGAAAAAGAUCCGCAUUUGGACGGAACCACCAAGAUACCUCAAGUCAGCUGUAGUUAUUAUGCCAGGCCACAAGAUGGUGCUGUGAUUUUAGAAUGUCCUGCGAUGUGCAUGUGUUUUUCACCUUUAGCUUCCACCUAAUCGUAAAUAACAACUCGUCUCCGUCUCCCAACAAAGUGCUCAUGGAAAAUAUUCCUCAUCAAGAAUUAUGCUAAGCUAAACUGACGGGAGCGGGUGGAGUUGCAUGACUAGAGGCUGUCCAGCAUCUUAAAGGGGUCGAGCAUUUCUUCCAGAGGAGUGCUGAUUGGAGGUUGGACUUCUUACCUGCUGCACAUCCAGAGGGAUGACCAUGUGGGGUAUCACGGCGGGCAGGCUGCUCUGCCGCCCGUGCUUCCAGGCCUGCA